AAGCACUCCUACGGGAGGCAGCAGUGGGGAAUAUUGCACAAUGGGCGCAAGCCUGAUGCAGCCAUGCCGCGUGUAUGAAGAAGGCCUUCGGGUUGUAAAGUACUUUCAGCAGUGAGGAAGGUGGGUAUGUUAAUAGCAUAUUCAUUUGACGUUAGCUGCAGAAGAAGCACCGGCUAACUCCGUGCCAGCAGCCGCGGUAAUACGGAGGGUGCGAGCGUUAAUCGGAAUUACUGGGCGUAAAGCGCAUGCAGGUGGUUUGUUAAGUCAGAUGUGAAAGCCCGGGGCUCAACCUCGGAAUUGCAUUUGAAACUGGCAAACUAGAGUACUGUAGAGGGGGUAGAAUUUCAGGUGUAGCGGUGAAAUGCGUAGAGAUCUGAAGGAAUACCGGUGGCGAAGGCGGCCCCCUGGACAGAUACUGACACUCAGAUGCGAAAGCGUGGGGAGCAAACAGGAUUAGAUACCCUGGUAG
RNAcentral lists this ribosomal RNA (469 nucleotides) under uncultured bacterium. Its description in RNAcentral is "bacterial SSU rRNA". It matches the Rfam family "Bacterial small subunit ribosomal RNA", at positions 331 to 793 of the family's 1533-position model. The record is from RNAcentral.